Molecule: transfer RNA, 74 nt
Filed under: Podarcis lilfordi (Lilford's wall lizard)
Lineage: Eukaryota; Metazoa; Chordata; Lepidosauria; Squamata; Lacertidae
Rfam family: tRNA
About the family: Transfer RNA (tRNA) molecules are approximately 80 nucleotides in length. Their secondary structure includes four short double-helical elements and three loops (D, anti-codon, and T loops).
Source: Rfam by way of RNAcentral
GUCUGGAUAGCUCAGUUGGUUAGAGCAUGGUGCUGAUCACGCCAAGGUUGCAGGUUCGAUCCCCGUAUGGGACA